Molecule: long non-coding RNA, 999 nt
Organism: Sardina pilchardus (European sardine)
Lineage: Eukaryota; Metazoa; Chordata; Actinopteri; Clupeiformes; Clupeidae
Exons: 3
Source: RefSeq, a predicted model, not a curated record
UUUAUAACGACUUGAAUGCAAGAAUCAUCACAUUGAAUGCUGCGAAAUCUUUGCUGGAAACCAAUAUCAGUGCCAUUUCUGGUGAGCGAGAUGAACUACAGUCACGUCUUUGCAAACUCGAAUCACCUGACAUGAAGAGAAUUAAAAAUCAUGCAGUUGAAGUGACUCUAGAUCCUGACACAGCACAUCCUAAACUCGAUCUCUCCACUGACGGGAAACAAGCAAAAGUUGGACAGAGAAGACCAGCUAUCCUGAAGACCUCUAAGAGGUUUUGGACCUAUACAUGUGUUCUGGGGAAAGAAGGCUUCUCCUCUGGUAAAUUCUACUAUGAGGUACAAGUUCUGGGGAAAAGUAAUUGGGAUAUAGGAGUGGUCAGAGAGUCCAUCAACAGGGAUAACCUGACUCUGUCUCCUCAGGAGGGAUUCUGGACAAUAUGGCUGCGUAAUGGGACUAAGUAUGCAGCAAUAGAUAGUCCCCUUGUUCCCCUCUCCCUGAAAGAGAAGCCCCAGAGGGUGGGGGUGUUUGUGGAUUAUGAGGCAGGUCUGGUCUCCUUUUAUGAUGCAGACUAUUGGUAUCAUAUGUACUCUUUUAGAGAUGUCACUUUCCGUGAGAAAAUCUAUCCAUAUUUCUAUGUUGGUGGUCAAGAUUCAAUCCCAAUGACCAUAAAUCCUGUAGUUAAGUGCAUGUCAACAGUGUAAGAGACAACUUAUUUUGAUACAUUAUUGUAAUACACUUGAGUCCACCCCGGGUUCAAGUCCGGCCCAGGUCAUUUCACGAUCCUACCCUAUCGCUCUCAUACUCGCUUCCUGUAACUCUCUCCACUAUCCUGUCAGAUUAGAUUCAGACUUUUGCUGUAUGGUGGUAUUGGUUAAAGGUGAUGUAAGAAACCUACCAUAAAUGAUAUACUCUCCUUUAUUUCUUUAUGUUUACUGUAGUUGUGCUUUAGCUUAGGACCUUAUCACCAUUCUUAUUUUGAGUGUUUUCAAAUAAAAUUAUAUA